GAAAGUCUGUCACUACUGUGACAUCAUAGGAAGUGGUCAGGCAUGGUCCCUCCUGAUACUCACUGUGUUCAAGGCCCUUUCUGACAACUUGAUGCUUGGGGAGCCACCAAUCCUCAGUUCCAUAGGAAGACACAGCAAAGGGCUUGGAGUGAAGGAGCUGGAGACUGGACAGUAGGAAGCCGACACGCUGGAAGAAGGUAUCUUAACAGGACAGCCAAAUAGACCUGCCUUGGAUGGUCUCAGCCCAUCUCAUACACUUAGUACCCUUCCAUCUGCCUCUGGUCUCCUGCAUGAAGGAUUUAUAUUUGAAAUGGGAACAAGUAGUCACAACCAUGAGAAGACCCAUGAAGGAAGGACUAUUCUCUUCCCAGACUGGUUUAAUUGACAGAGGAGAAGGAGGAAGUGGGACGAGACAGAGAGCACAGCGUGCCUACAACCAGUGGACCCUGGAUGAAGCAAAGACAGGAAUCCAGCUCAGCUCUUCUUGCAACAUCUCUACAAAGUCGCGCUUUUCUAAAUAUGAUUUUAAAAUUAAAAUUCUAAAGAAUGCA
This 551-nucleotide small RNA is filed under the name Rattus norvegicus (Norway rat). RNAcentral describes it as "uncharacterized LOC102548867". The record is from RNAcentral. Lineage: Eukaryota; Metazoa; Chordata; Mammalia; Rodentia; Muridae.